This 200-nucleotide unclassified non-coding RNA is filed under the name Oidiodendron sp. Its description in RNAcentral is "partial internal transcribed spacer 2". Lineage: Eukaryota; Fungi; Ascomycota; Leotiomycetes; Myxotrichaceae. The record is from RNAcentral.
UUAAGUUCAGCGGGUAUCCCUACCUGAUCCGAGGUCAACCACAGAGUUGGGGGUUCUGGCAGGCCACCGCCAGGCACCGCAGCGAGGGUUGUACUACGCUGAGAGCCAGGCGGCGCCGCCACUGCCUUUGGGGCCGGCCGCGAACGGGCCCGGCCCAACACCAAGCGGAGCUUGAGGGUUGAAAUGACGCUCGAACAGGC